GACGAACGCUGGCGGCGUGCUUAACACAUGCAAGUCGAACGGAAAGGCCCUGCUUUUGUGGGGUGCUCGAGUGGCGAACGGGUGAGUAACACGUGAGUAACCUGCCCUUGACUUUGGGAUAACUUCAGGAAACUGGGGCUAAUACCGGAUAGGAGCUCCUGCUGCAUGGUGGGGGUUGGAAAGUUUCGGCGGUUGGGGAUGGACUCGCGGCUUAUCAGCUUGUUGGUGGGGUAGUGGCUUACCAAGGCUUUGACGGGUAGCCGGCCUGGGAGGGUGACCGGCCACAUUGGGACUGAGAUACGGCCCAGAGUCAUACGGGAGGCAGCAGUGGGGAAUAUUGCACAAUGGGCGGAAGCCUGAUGCAGCAACGCCGCGUGCGGGAUGACGGCCUUCGGGUUGGAAACCGCUUUCGCCUGUGACGAAGCGUGAGUGACGGUAAUGGGUAAAGAAGCACCGGCUAACUACGU
Molecule: ribosomal RNA, 467 nt
Filed under: uncultured bacterium
Lineage: Bacteria
Description: partial 16S ribosomal RNA
Rfam family: Bacterial small subunit ribosomal RNA
Source: RNAcentral